UCAACCGUUCAUCAUCCAUCAGUUCAUUCAAUCUCAUCCGUCCGAUCAUCCUAACCCCGUUAUAAAACAACGCAUCAUUUCUUCAUCAACUCGCAUUCCAGUUUCAUCUCUCUCCUCUUCCCGGAACAUCUUUCAUCUCCAGAUCUACUCAUCGUCAUUUCUCUGCUUCUGAAUCGGUACGCAGAUCCGUGUAGAUCGUUCGCCGAUCUACAGUUUGAGUAUGGUUUCGACUUGUAUCGGACAUCGAUUCCCUGCGAAAUGGUUAUGAAUUCAGAUUUGUUUAGAUCGUUUGCCGAUCUAUCAUUUCUGAGUGUUGUCGGUAUGAAUAUUGCUCGGACCAUGGACGAUGCUGUCGGCUAGAUGAAGAUUGGAUAGAUCUGAUGGAUUUGUUACGAGAUUGAGAGAUGAAUGGCCUUUUCAAGGAGAGUUCUCGGUGAUCUGAGAUGAUUUUUUGACCUUCAAUUGGUGGAGGCUUCGUUGUUCGCGGAUAUAGUUUUGUCGGUUAUCAUCGUUUCAAUUGGGUGAUUUUACCGUAUCUCUGUAGAGCUCGGUAAAAUUGGAUAUCACUGGUGUUCUAUUUAUGCUAGAUCUCGAGGGAUGGUAAUCGGCAAGCUUGAGGUUGUUAGAUAAGGUUAUCAUAGUUAAAUUUGUUGUCUAUUCUCAGCUUAAUUAUGAACAUUUGCAUUAGUUUUUCUCAUAUGCAUAUGUAUGAGGAAAUAAUGAGAUCGUAGAGAAAAGAGAGGAUAUGUGAGGUUCUUUAUUGUUGUUUACCGGCCUUCGCCAUGCCGGGUGCGCUCGCAUGGCAGGUCACAAAACCUAAUAAAGAUGCGAUUUUUGUGUUUGGAGGGGAGAUGGUACGGGGGUUUUGCCCGACUCUCCUCUCUGUGUCUUGUCUUUGGCCUCCCUUCUUUGUUUUCUAGAA
Molecule: long non-coding RNA, 922 nt
Organism: Solanum stenotomum
Lineage: Eukaryota; Viridiplantae; Streptophyta; Magnoliopsida; Solanales; Solanaceae
Exons: 2
Source: RefSeq, a predicted model, not a curated record